CCUCCUACACUGCCAUCUGCAUCUGCUCUGCAUGCCCUUCAAAACCCUUCCAUCCCAAGGCCCAAGCCUCGGGACCUGCCCCAAAUGGGGCACACUUAAAGCCAGAAUGGAUCUCUGAGGUAGCCCAGAACACACACACACACACACACACACACACACACACACACUACUCAGAUGAGGAACCAGGGUCCAGAGAGGGAUGGGCCUGGCCUGAAUCACCCACCAGCACAGCAGUGAAGCUGAGACCCCAGCCCACAAGCCCCCUGGACUGGUUAUUUCAGUGUCCGGUCACACUGGGCUGUCAUACGGCCAUGGGGGUAGUUUUCAACUCCAAAUGCCAGCGCCUCUCCAGAAUACAGACAGACCUGGGUUUGAAUCCUUGUCCACCAUCUAAAAGUUAUAAUUUCUCUGUGUCCCUUUCCUCACCUGGAAAAUGGGGAUCAAAAUAACCCCAAUUUGCUGAGGUUCUUAUGAGGUUCAAGUGAGAGGACGCAGGUAGAGCCGCAGCACAGAGUGUGCCCCUGGCACAUACUCCCUGAGUGGUGAUGAUGGUUCUCCACCAUCCCCCGUGCCUGGGGGGGCCCUGCCCCCAAUUUGCUGUGGGCAGGACAGUCAAGGUUGGUGGGGGCAGGAGCAACGACAGUUCGAGUGUGGGACUGCAGGGCAGGAGUGAGACCACUUCCUACUGGAGAAGACCCUGGAAGCCUCCCUGGAGGUGGUGGCAUCAAGCAGAGGAUGCAGAACUCUGUCUCUCUUGCUCUGAAGCUGACUGGGGGCUUUUUGAGUACCGCAGGGCUGAAGGGAAGCACCCUAGCCUGAAAGCCAAUCCCGGCCCAGCCCAAGCUUCUGCCCUGGAUGACCUUGAGGAGGAGUCCCUCCCUUCUCUGGGCAUCCGAAAAAUGGGGCCAGAGAGGACCAGACAACACUCCCUCAAGGCGCCUUUCUGCUCAGGGGCUUGCGCAAGCGGAAGAAGGCGGUGCAGACCCACCCUCGGCAGUACCCAAUUAUUGCCACGGGGCGGCAGCAGGGAGCGAAGCUGCGGUCGGGCCUCCUUUCCCUGCGGCCAGUCCCUCCCCAGCCCCCGGUGGUCUUUGCUCCCCGACCCCCAGCCAGCUCGCCCGAGAGCCAGAGCUGAACGUCCUUCGCAUCCAGACAUGCGAUGCUCCCCGCAGCCCUGCAGGGCGUCAGCAUGCUGGCCGCUUUCCAGAUGGGGAAAAUGAUGGCCCAGAGAGGGGAGCACUUGCUCAAGGCCCCGCGGGAGCCAAGUGUGCCCGGCCGAGGCGGUGUGAAAGGAGACGGCGGUCACACGGUCCUGGCUGGGAUCCCGGUCCCCUCACCUCCCGCUGUGUGUCCUCGGGCAGGUCACCCACCCUCUCUGAACCUCAGUGGAUACGAGUGCUGAUCACAGAAGCCACCGCUUUGUUUCCGGUAGAGUUAAUGCCCCAUGAGAGCGGAGACAUGUCUGUCACUCACCUCAGCGCCCCCAGAGCCUGGCGCAGGGUGGGACACAGAGAAUAGCGCCUUCCUGGCGAUGGGCAGAUGCUGUCUGUCCUCAAACCCCGCCCCACAGCAGCCCCGCGUCAGCCCCGCCUUGCUCCCCUCCCGGCAGCCGUUCCUGCAGGACGCCCACCCUCCCCCCGGCCUCGAGGGGCUCCUGCUCCACUCCCCGCGUGUCCUCUGACUCCACCCGAGCCCGCAGGCCCCUGUCUGGGUCCCGGCCGCUCCCUCGCGUCCCUCCCUCCUGCCGAGCCCCCGCUCCGCUCUACACUGUUCACAAGACAACGAGGACGGUUUUUAUUUCUCUUUUGUCUCCCUUCCUCCCCUGAAGGGAAACGUGUUUCCAAUCUUCCAGGAAAACAUGAAGGCUCCGGAUGAGAAAAAGCAAACAAAGGCCAGUGGGACCGUGGGCGCCCCCCGCCCCCCACGCAGGCCCCGCACGCGAACCGGCGCCCGCGCCCGUGCUGCCCUCCUCCGCCAGGGCCCGAGAACCGCUCUGUUAUUUUGGGGAGUCUUGCCAUGUUGUCCAGGCUGGUCUUGAACUCCUGACCUCAAAUGAUCUGCCUGCCUUGGCCUCCCAAAGUGCUUGGAUUACAGGAUUGAGCCACCACACCAGCCUCAAUUUUCACUUUAAAUUAAAACCUGGAAAUUGCUCAGGGUUACAAGGAUGAGCCGUUAGACGCUGGUUCUGAGGUGGUGCUCACUUCCCGUCUCCCUCUCCUCUGCGGAAGAGUGUGCUUCUGCCUGAGUCAUUGGACCUGAAGGCUCUUCUCACCCCCCACUCCCUCCAUGGCUCCCACUCUCCCUCCCAGCCCCUGCACCGACCUCAGCCACAUCCCCUCCAUGCCUCACACUGACCUCAGGCUGCCAGGUCAAGGUAGAACUCCCCUCACACCCUCCUAUGUCCAGGGGUGGAGGUGAAUUGGGGCUCUGGAUGCCAAGAAUGGAGGAAGGACAAAUGCCAGCCCCAGAGACCCUAGCCUCCUCAAAGAACAACGGGAGAUGGCGCCUGUUUGCCCAGCAGCAGCCAGGCCAGAGCAGGCACUGCCAGGCUAAGCUGCUGAGGUUGGGGACACAGCGAGUGACUCUCCAAGAACAGCAUGUGACAAGCAGACCCUUCCUGGCGGUCGGCCCGGCUGAGAGCUGCCUCCACUGCCCAUCCUGUCCAGGCUUCUCACUGCCCAAAGCAUCUUCUGGCCCUCACACCUUCAGGGCAAAGCCUGAGACCCCUCCCAGCUGCCCAUGAUGCAGCCCCGGGAGCAGCCCCACCCCUGCACCCCGGGCCCCUGCCACUCUGCAUCUCCCGAGUUCUCUGUCCCUUGUCCUUUCGGGGGCACCUACAUGCUUUGCUUUCACCUUGACUUCCAUCUUCGCCCUCGCCAACACACUGUCUCCUCUUGUCCUCCUUGGUCCCUCCCUGAGGAAACUUUCCUCUCCCCCACUUUCAGCCAGAGAAACCCCACUCCUCUGCCCACACCCCCACCUGCCCUGCCCCGUCUCAGGGACUGCCCACUGUCAUCAGAGUCCCACAGUUCUGGAACUUGGGGCAACUUGGCCCUCUUCCAGGCCUACUCCCUGCACUCUCUAAAGGGCGAUCCUGAGCCCAGAGAGGGGCAGGAGCUGCACAAGGCCACACAGCCUGUUAGUGGCAGAGUUAGGACUGGAACACAGCUCUCCCAAGUCCCUGCCUGGGGCUCCUUGGAGGACACAUGGCUUCCCUGCCUGGUGAACCAGAAUGGAACUCUUCAAGGACAGGGACUGUACCAUUCCUUCCAGUGUCCCCUGCCCCUCACCCAGAGCAGGACCCACAGGAAGCAACUGUGAAUACAAAAGGUAAAAAGGAAUAAUUGAAAAUAUAUCUCUAAUGCCUUCUGUGUGCCGGACAUUCAGCAGGCACCAGCUCUGCUACUAGAAA
Non-coding RNA from Callithrix jacchus (white-tufted-ear marmoset), 3412 nucleotides. The record is from RefSeq and is a predicted model, not a curated record. Lineage: Eukaryota; Metazoa; Chordata; Mammalia; Primates; Cebidae.